Molecule: ribosomal RNA, 800 nt
Filed under: uncultured bacterium
Lineage: Bacteria
Description: bacterial SSU rRNA
Rfam family: Bacterial small subunit ribosomal RNA
Source: RNAcentral
GAAUAAGCACCGGCUAACUCUGUGCCAGCAGCCGCGGUAAUACAGAGGGUGCGAGCGUUAAUCGGAAUUACUGGGCGUAAAGCGAGCGUAGGUGGCUUAAUAAGUCAGAUGUGAAAUCCCCGGGCUUAACCUGGGAACUGCAUCUGAAACUGUUCGGCUAGAGUAGGUGAGAGGGAAGUAGAAUUCCAGGUGUAGCGGUGAAAUGCGUAGAGAUCUGGAGGAAUACCGAUGGCGAAGGCAGCUUCCUGGCAUCAUACUGACACUGAGGUUCGAAAGCGUGGGUAGCAAACAGGAUUAGAUACCCUGGUAGUCCACGCCGUAAACGAUGUCUACUAGUCGUUGGGUCCCUUGAGGACUUAGUGACGCAGCUAACGCAAUAAGUAGACCGCCUGGGGAGUACGGCCGCAAGGUUAAAACUCAAAUGAAUUGACGGGGGCCCGCACAAGCGGUGGAGCAUGUGGUUUAAUUCGAUGCAACGCGAAGAACCUUACCUGGUCUUGACAUACACAGAAUCUUGCAGAGAUGCGAGAGUGCCUUCGGGAAUUGUGAUACAGGUGCUGCAUGGCUGUCGUCAGCUCGUGUCGUGAGAUGUUGGGUUAAGUCCCGCAACGAGCGCAACCCUUUUCCUUAGUUACCAGCACUUCGGGUGGGAACUCUAAGGAUACUGCCAGUGACAAACUGGAGGAAGGCGGGGACGACGUCAAGUCAUCAUGGCCCUUACGACCAGGGCUACACACGUGCUACAAUGGUAGGUACAGAGGGCAGCUACACAGCGAUGUGAUGCGAAUCUCAAAAAGCCU